UCGAGGGGCAGCGGGUAGAUGAGCUUGCUCAUUUAUGCCGGCGACCGGCUCACGGGUGAGUAACACGUAUGCAACCUGCCCGUCUCAGGGGGAUAAUCGUCGGAAACGGCGUCUAAUACCCCGUAUGAAGCUGGACGGCAUCGUCUGGUUUUGAAAGAAUAUCGGAGACGGAUGGGCAUGCGGCGCAUUAGCUGGUUGGCGGGGUAACGGCCCACCAAGGCGACGAUGCGUAGGGGUUCUGAGAGGAAGGUCCCCCACACUGGUACUGAGACACGGACCAGACUCCUACGGGAGGCAGCAGUGAGGAAUAUUGGUCAAUGGGCGAGAGCCUGAACCAGCCAAGUCGCGUGAGGGAGUACUGCCCUAUGGGUUGUAAACCUCUUUUGUCGGGGAGCAAAAGCCGGACGUGUCCGGCUGUGAGAGUACCCGAAGAAAAAGCAUCGGCUAACUCCGUGCCAGCAGCCGCGGUAAUACGGAGGAUGCGAGCGUUAUCCGGAUUUAUUGGGUAUAAAGGGUGCGCAGGCGGAUUUUUAAGUCAGCGGUCAAAUCGUGGGGCUCAACCCCAUCCAGCCGUCGAAACUGGGGAUCUAGAGUGUGCGAGAGGUAUGCGGAAUGCGUGGUGUAGCGGUGAAAUGCAUAGAUAUCACGCAGAACCCCGAUUGCGAAGGCAGCAUACCGGUGCACAACUGACGCUCAGGCACGAAAGCGUGGGUAUCGAACAGGAUUAGAUACCCUGGUAGUCCACGCAGUAAACGAUGAAUGCUACCU
Molecule: ribosomal RNA, 768 nt
Filed under: uncultured bacterium
Lineage: Bacteria
Description: bacterial SSU rRNA
Rfam family: Bacterial small subunit ribosomal RNA
Source: RNAcentral